RNAcentral lists this ribosomal RNA (1474 nucleotides) under Dictyobacter halimunensis. RNAcentral describes it as "bacterial SSU rRNA". It matches the Rfam family "Bacterial small subunit ribosomal RNA". Lineage: Bacteria; Bacillati; Chloroflexota; Ktedonobacteria; Ktedonobacterales; Dictyobacteraceae. The record is from RNAcentral.
UGGCGAGUUUGAUCCUGGCUCAGGAUAAACGCUGGCGGCGUGCCUAACACAUGCAAGUCGAACGCCCUGUGCAAACAGGGAGUGGCGGACGGGUGAGGAACACGUGGGUUAUCUACCCUGGGGUGAGGAAUACCGGCGAGAAAUCGCCGACAAUACCGCAUAUGCUCGCGAGAGCAAAGCCGGAAACGGCGCCCGAGGAUGAGCUUGCGCUCGAUUAGUUGGUUGGUGGGGUAAUGGCCUACCAAGACUGCGAUCGAUAGCUGGUCUGAGAGGACGAUCAGCCACACUGGGAUUGAGAACGGCCCAGACUCCUACGGGGGGCAGCAGUGAGGAAUUUUCGUCAAUGGGGGCAACCCUGAACGAGCAACGCCGCGUGCAGGAUGACGGUUUUCGGAUCGUAAACUGCUUUUCUCUGGGACGAGAACGGACGGUACCAGAGGAAUCAGCCCCGGCUAACUACGUGCCAGCAGCCGCGGUAAUACGUAGGGGGCGAGCGUUGUCCGGAGUUACUGGGCGUAAAGCGCACGCAGGCGGUCAGAUUAGUCUGUAGUGACAGUCGUCGGCUCAACUGACGAAGUACUAUGGAAACUGUCUGACUUGAGGGCUUCAGAGGGACACGGAAUUCCGGGUGGAGUGGUGAAAUGCGUAGAUAUCCGGAGGAACACCAAAGGCGAAGGCAGUGUCCUGGGAAGUACCUGACGCUCAGGUGCGAAAGCUAGGGGAGCGAACAGGAUUAGAUACCCUGGUAGUCCUAGCCGUAAACGAUGACCACUAGACGUUGGGGGUAUCGACCCCUUCAGUGUCGCAGUUAACACAAUAAGUGGUCCGCCUGGGGAGUACGGUCGCAAGAUUAAAACUCAAAGGAAUUGACGGGGACCCGCACAAGCAGCGGAGCGUGUGGUUUAAUUCGAUGCAACGCGAAGAACCUUACCAAGGCUUGACAUGGACCUGCACCAGCCGUAACGGGCUGUCCCUUCGGGGCGGGUUCACAGGUGCUGCAUGGCUGUCGUCAGCUCGUGUCGUGAGAUGUUGGGUUAAGUCCCGCAACGAGCGCAACCCCUGUCGUUAGUUGGAUAUUUCUAGCGAAACUGCCGUUAUAAGACGGAGGAAGGCGGGGAUGACGUCAAGUCAGCACGGCCCUUACGCUUUGGGCGACACACACGCUACAAUGGUCAGGACAAAGAGUUGCCAACCCGCGAGGGGGAGCUAAUCUCGUCAAACCUGGCCUCAGUUCAGAUUGGAGGCUGCAACCCGCCUCCAUGAAGUUGGAGUUGCUAGUAACCGUAGGUCAGCACACUACGGUGAAUACGUUCCCGGGUCUUGUACACACCGCCCGUCACACCACGAAAGUUGGCAACACUUGAAGCCGCUGGGCUAACCCAUUGGGAGGCAAGCGUCGAGGGUGGGGUCAGUGAUUGGGGUGAAGUCGUAACAAGGUAGCCGUACCGGAAGGUGCGGCUGGAUCACCUCCUUU